Molecule: ribosomal RNA, 288 nt
Filed under: Clostridioides difficile
Lineage: Bacteria; Bacillati; Bacillota; Clostridia; Peptostreptococcales; Peptostreptococcaceae
Description: partial 16S ribosomal RNA
Rfam family: Bacterial small subunit ribosomal RNA
Source: RNAcentral
CGGGUCGUAAAACUCUGUCCUCAAGGAAGAUAAUGACGGUACUUGAGGAGGAAGCCCCGGCUAACUACGUGCCAGCAGCCGCGGUAAUACGUAGGGGGCUAGCGGUAUCCGGAUUUACUGGGCGUAAAGGGUGCGUAGGCGGUCUUUCAAGUCAGGAGGGAAAGGCUACGGCUCAACCGUAGUAAGCUCUUGAAACUGGGAGACUUGAGUGCAGGAGAGGAGAGUGGAAUUCCUAGUGUAGCGGUGAAAUGCGUAGAUAUUAGGAGGAACACCAGUUGCGAAGGCGGC